Molecule: small RNA, 630 nt
Filed under: Pan troglodytes (chimpanzee)
Lineage: Eukaryota; Metazoa; Chordata; Mammalia; Primates; Hominidae
Description: processed transcript
Source: RNAcentral
UUCAGAACCGUGGAACCUCUGGAGUAUUACAGGAGAUUUCUGAAAGAGAACUGCCGUCCUGAUGGAAGAGAACUUGGUGAAUUCAGAACCACAACUGUCAACAUCGGUUCAAUUAGUACCGCAGAUGGUUCUGCUUUAGUGAAGUUGGGAAAUACUACAGUAAUUUGUGGAGUUAAAGCAUAGCUUCUUUCAAUAGGAAACAUUUCUUUGCUACUAUAGGAAUUUGCAGCACCACCAACAGAUGCCCCUGAUAAAGGAUACGUUGUUCCUAAUGUGGAUCUACCACCCCUGUGUUCAUCGAGAUUCCGGUCUGGACCUCCUGGAGAAGAGGCCCAAGUGGCUAGCCAGUUCAUUGCAGAUGUCAUUGAAAAUUCACAGAUAAUUCAGAAAGAGGACUUAUGCAUUUCUCCAGGAAAGCUUGUCUGGGUUCUAUACUGUGAUCUCAUUUGCCUCGACUACGAUGGAAACAUUUUGGAUGCCUGCACAUUUGCUUUGUUAGCGGCUUUAAAAAAUGUUGCCUGAAGUUACUAUAAAUGAAGAAACUGCUUUAGCAGAAGUUAAUUUAAAGAAGAAAAGUUAUUUGAAUAUUAGAACUCAUCCAGUUGCAACUUCCUUUGCUGUGUUUGAUGA